Molecule: transfer RNA, 63 nt
Filed under: Heterocephalus glaber (naked mole-rat)
Lineage: Eukaryota; Metazoa; Chordata; Mammalia; Rodentia; Bathyergidae
Rfam family: tRNA
About the family: Transfer RNA (tRNA) molecules are approximately 80 nucleotides in length. Their secondary structure includes four short double-helical elements and three loops (D, anti-codon, and T loops).
Source: Rfam by way of RNAcentral
GUGUAGCUCAGUGGUAGAGCAUGUGUUUAGCAUGCACAAGGAUCUGGGUCUGAACCCCAGCAC